Molecule: long non-coding RNA, 229 nt
Organism: Telopea speciosissima
Lineage: Eukaryota; Viridiplantae; Streptophyta; Magnoliopsida; Proteales; Proteaceae
Exons: 3
Source: RefSeq, a predicted model, not a curated record
ACAAAGGAGAGAACUGCAGAGAUGAAGAAAAAUAUGAAGAGUAUUGGAAGCAGUAUGGGUGCACUCUUAUGUCUGAUGGAUGGACGGAUAAACGGGAAAUGCACUUAAUUAAUUUUCUCGUUAACUGUCCAUAGGGGACUUAUUUCAUGGGAUCUGUUGAUGCAUCUGGUAUGGUUUAAAGUGCACAAAUGCUAUUUGAAUUGAUUGAUAGAAAAAUUGAUGAGAUUGG